This 345-nucleotide unclassified non-coding RNA is filed under the name soil metagenome. RNAcentral's name for it is "partial contains 5.8S ribosomal RNA, internal transcribed spacer 2, and large subunit ribosomal RNA". The stretch from base 1 to 120 matches the Rfam family "5.8S ribosomal RNA", at positions 35 to 154 of the family's 154-position model. The record is from RNAcentral.
GAUGAAGAACGUAGCGAAAUGCGAUACGUAGUGUGAAUUGCAGAAUUCAGUGAAUCAUCGAAUCUUUGAACGCACAUUGCACCUCUCGGUAUUCCGGGGGGCAUGCCUGUCCGAGCGUCAUUGCUGCCCUCAAGCACGGCUUGUGUGUUGGGCCUCCGUCCUCCUCCCGGGGGACGGGCCCGAAAGGCAGCGGCGGCACCGCGUCCGGUCCUCGAGCGUAUGGGGCUUCGUCACCCGCUCUUGUAGGCCCGGCCGGCGCUUGCCGACACAUCAAUCUUUUUUCCAGGUUGACCUCGGAUCAGGUAGGGAUACCCGCUGAACUUAAGCAUAUCAAUAAGCGGAGGA